RNAcentral lists this ribosomal RNA (483 nucleotides) under uncultured bacterium. RNAcentral describes it as "partial 16S ribosomal RNA". It matches the Rfam family "Bacterial small subunit ribosomal RNA", at positions 28 to 507 of the family's 1533-position model. The record is from RNAcentral.
GACGAACGCUGGCGGCGUGCUUAACACAUGCAAGUCGAACGAUGAAGCGGGUGCUUGCCCUCGUGGAUUAUUGGCGCACGGGCGAGUAACACGUGAGUAACCUGUCCUUUUCUUUGGGAUAACGGCUGGAAACGGCUGCUAAUACACGAUAUUCUGGCUGCAUCGCCUGGGUUGGUUUGGGAAGGUCUUUUUUGGGGUCGGGUGGGCUCGCGGCCUAUCAGCUUGUUGGUGGGGUUAUGGCUUACCAAGGCUUUGACGGGUAUCCGGCCUGAGAGGGUGGUCGGUCGCACUGAGACGGAGAUGCGGCCCAGAGUACUCCGGGGGGCAGCAGUGGGGAAUAUUGGACAAUGGACGAAAGUUUGAUGCAGCGAGGCCGCGUGGAGGGUGUAGGUCUUCGGGUUGUGAACUCCUGUUUGUAGCGAAAAAGGCACAGUUUUGGCUGUGUUGAUGGUAGUGGGGGAAGAAGCGCCGGCUAACUACGUG